This 3040-nucleotide ribosomal RNA is filed under the name Ambystoma mexicanum (axolotl). Its description in RNAcentral is "eukaryotic LSU rRNA". The stretch from base 1194 to 3040 matches the Rfam family "Eukaryotic large subunit ribosomal RNA", at positions 1 to 3026 of the family's 3401-position model. Lineage: Eukaryota; Metazoa; Chordata; Amphibia; Caudata; Ambystomatidae. The record is from RNAcentral.
AGUCUUAAGCCUUUUGCAGUGGUCCCUAAGGGAACUGCACAGGUUUCUGCCUAACAGUGCCCUUGCCCUCCGGCCUACCAUGUGGGUUGACUGCCCCACGCCCAGUGGCUGUCUUGGGGCACCUCAAAAGGGUCCCAUUCCUGCCCUAGAGCAAACAGCUCUGAUGUGUCCCAGGACUGAUCGGGGUGCUGCCACCUCGCAUGGGCUGCUGCGUCCCACGUGGGUCGGCUGUCCACCUGCCCAGCAGAAGUCCCUGCGCAUCUUGGGGACUGCCAUUCCAUUGCCAGGGGCCCUUGCCCACUGGAAUUCAUAGUAUUACCAGAUGGCCACGCUACGAGCCUUGCCAUCUGGUAGUUGACCAUAGGAAUGAAUGAAAGGACCAAAUGGCUGUGUUGCUCUGGAAGUCUGACUGGGUGCCAAUUUGAAAUGUUUCUCCAGUUGGUUCCAUAAGGAGGUUGGACACUUUUGCCCAGACCUCCCACUCUACCACCCAGGGUACACAGAUUACAAGACAGUUUAGUCAAUUUCCCCCGGAUUACUGUAGACAGUGUAUUAGUGUCCUGCCGGUGCUCCAGUAGUUUGCUGCCCCACCCGGGCUCCAUGUUGAAACCCUCUUCCCUUCACCAACCUGCCCAACAGUUGGUCCCAUGAAGUGUCCCAGCAGAGCCGGCCUCCUCCGGGUGGGGGCCCUGCAUGUAGCCUUUGGAGCCCUGCAAGAGGCUACCUUUCCAGGGCCAACCUCCUGGUUGUUGCCUCCCUGGUGGGGGCACGGAUGGCUUCCCAUUCCUUUGCCAGGGCACUACGGGCUAUACCAGGCCAGGCCCUGUGAAUGAGUUGCACUACCAGAUGGCCAUGCUCUGAGCCCGGCCAUCUGGUACUUGGACAAAGGAAUGAAUGGCAGGACCAGAUGGCCAGCAUACUCUGGGGGUCCGGAUGGGCAGCAAUUUGAAAAUGUUCUUCAGUUGGGUCUAUAAAGAGGCUAGACACCUUUGCCCAUACCUGUCCCUCUGUCACACAGGGUACACAGAUUACAAGAAAGCUUAGUCACCUUCCCCCGGAUUACUGUAGACAGUGUGUAUGUGUCCUGUCUGUGCUCCACUUGGUUCUCGCUGCCCCACCCAGGCUUUUUGGCAAAACCGCUGUACCCCCCAACCGCCACACACGGUGGCAGGUGGGCAGUAGCAUAUGCUCUCAAAGAUUACGCCAUGCAUGUGUAAAUACACCUGGCCGGUUAAGUAAAACUGUGAAUGUGUUGCCUGCGCCGAGAACCACAGGGACUAAGUCACAAAGAGUAGGAGGGCUGCUGCAGUGCGCAUUGAAGCCCGGGGCGAAGGCCCAGGUGGAGGCACCACAGGUGCAGAUCUUGGUGGUAGUAGCAAAUAUUUAAAUACGAAAUUUGAAGGCUGAAGUGGAUAAGGGUUCCAUGUGAACAGCAAUUGAAAUGGGUCAGUCGGUCAUAAGAGAUGGGCGAAUGCAGUUCCGAAGGGCAAUGGCCUCUGUUGCCAGCAGCCGAUCGAAAGGGAGUCAUGCUCAGAUCCCCAAAGCCGAAGUGGUGGAGAUGGUUGCGCCCAGGGUGUCCAGUGAGGUAACGCAAACAAUGCGGGAGAAGCCGGAGGGAGCCCCGGGGAGAGUUCUCUUUUCUUUGUGAUGGGCAGGGCACCCUGAAAUGGGUUCAUUCUGAGAGAAGGGCCCGAGCCUUGGAAAGCAUCAUGGUUCAGGUGGCGUCUGGUGAGCUCUUGCUGCUCCUUGAAAAUCCAGGGGAGAUGGUGUACCCAUAUUUGCAGAAGGUCUCUAAGUGAACAGCCUCUGGCAUGUUGCAACAAUGUAGGUAAGGGAAAUCGGCAAGUCAGAUCUAAAACUUCAGGAUAAGGAUUGGCUAUAAGGGCUGGGUUGGUCAGGCUGGUUCGCAGGGCUGGGCAUGCGCCGUGACUGGACACAUUCUCUCCACCCCCCCAGGGUGGCGCCGACUAUGGAUGUGAGCCAGACCCUUCCGGUGGAUAACCCCAGCUGCGGUGGUCACCUCCCUCCAUUCCCCUCCUGGGGUUUAGGGCCAGCGUUAUGCCUCGGCCAAUGUCUACCAGCUGACUUUGAACUGGUGCAGAUGAGGGGAAUCUGACUGUUUAAUUAAAACAAAGCAUCCCAAAGGCCCAUGGCAGGGUUUGAUUCAAUGUGAUUUCUGCCCAAUGAAUGUCAAAGUGAAUAAAUUCAAUGAAUUGCGAGUAAACAGCUGGAGUAACUGUGACUCUCUUAAGAUAGCCAAAUGCCUCAUCAUCUAAUUAAUGAGGCACAUGAAUGGAUGAACGAGAUUCCCACUGCCUCUCCCUACUAUCUAGCAAAACCACAGUCAUGGGAAUUGGAUUGGAAGAAUCAGCAGGGAGGGAAUACCCAGUUGAACUAGACUAGUCUGGCACCUGUGAAGAAACAUGAGAGGUGUAGGAUAAGUGGGUCGCCCACGGGGCGCUGGUAUAAUACCACUACUCUUAUUGUAGUUUCACUUACCCGUUGAAGAGGGGGGCGAGCCACAUGGGGCUCUCUCUUCUGACUGCAAGUGCCCGGCACCUGCUGGGCAUGACAUGCUCCAGGGAUAGUGGCAGGUGGGGAGUUUGACUAGGGCGGUACACCCAUCAAAUGAAAUGCAGGUGUCCGGAGGCAAGCUCAGGGAGGACAGAAACCUGCAGAGAAGAGCAAAUGCUUGCUUGAUCUCGAUCGUCAGUAGGAACACAGACCGUGCAAGCAGGGCCUCGCAAUCCUUCUGACUGGCUUGUGGUGGCCAAGCGAUUAUAGUGACAUCGCUGUUUGAUCCUUCAAUGUCGGCUCUUCCUAUCAUUGUGAAGUAGAAUUCACCAAGUAUCCGAUUGUUCACCCACAACAGGGAACAUGAGCUGGACUUUGAACGUGCAGGCUGGAUCUGUGCUGUGUGGUAACCUGAAAAAUUUGAAGAUCCUGUAGGGAAGGAGCUAAGUACCCCCACCUCAAUCACUUCGCCCAUAUUGCCUAUCUGCUGGAAACCAGAAUAUGACACACGUACAAAGCCAUUUGA